RNAcentral lists this ribosomal RNA (429 nucleotides) under Actinomycetes bacterium. RNAcentral describes it as "Actinobacteria bacterium partial 16S ribosomal RNA". It matches the Rfam family "Bacterial small subunit ribosomal RNA", at positions 355 to 776 of the family's 1533-position model. The record is from RNAcentral. Lineage: Bacteria; Bacillati; Actinomycetota; Actinomycetes.
UAGGGAAUCUUCCGCAAUGGGCGAAAGCUUGACGGAGCAACGCCGCGUGAGUGAUGAAGGUCUUCGGAUCGUAAAACUCUGUUAUUAGGGAAGAACAAAUGUGUAAGUAACUAUGCACGUCUUGACGGUACCUAAUCAGAAAGCCACGGCUAACUACGUGCCAGCAGCCGCGGUAAUACGUAGGUGGCAAGCGUUAUCCGGAAUUAUUGGGCGUAAAGCGCGCGUAGGCGGUUUUUUAAGUCUGAUGUGAAAGCCCACGGCUCAACCGUGGAGGGUCAUUGGAAACUGGAAAACUUGAGUGCAGAAGAGGAAAGUGGAAUUCCAUGUGUAGCGGUGAAAUGCGCAGAGAUAUGGAGGAACACCAGUGGCGAAGGCGGCUCACUGGCUCGAUACUGACGCUGAGGUGCGAAAGCGUGGGGAGCAAACAGG